Molecule: transfer RNA, 76 nt
Filed under: Psychrobacter immobilis
Lineage: Bacteria; Pseudomonadati; Pseudomonadota; Gammaproteobacteria; Moraxellales; Moraxellaceae
Also listed under: 208 other names
Description: tRNA-Glu
Rfam family: tRNA
About the family: Transfer RNA (tRNA) molecules are approximately 80 nucleotides in length. Their secondary structure includes four short double-helical elements and three loops (D, anti-codon, and T loops). Further hydrogen bonds mediate the characteristic L-shaped molecular structure. tRNAs have two regions of fundamental functional importance: the anti-codon, which is responsible for specific mRNA codon recognition, and the 3' end, to which the tRNAs corresponding amino acid is attached (by aminoacyl-tRNA synthetases). tRNAs cope with the degeneracy of the genetic code in two manners: having more than one tRNA (with a specific anti-codon) for a particular amino acid; and 'wobble' base-pairing, i.e. permitting non-standard base-pairing at the 3rd anti-codon position.
Source: RNAcentral
GUCCCCAUCGUCUAGAGGCCUAGGACACCGCCCUUUCACGGCGGUAACGGGGGUUCGAAUCCCCCUGGGGACGCCA